CCUUCGGUGCUCGAGUUGUAAUUUGUAGAGGGAUACUUUGGGGCCGUUCCUUGUCUAUGUUCCUUGGAACAGGACGUCAUAGAGGGUGAGAAUCCCGUGUGGCGAGGAGUGCGGUUCUAUGUAAAGUGCCUUCGAAGAGUCGAGUUGUUUGGGAAUGCAGCUCUAAGUGGGUGGUAAAUUCCAUCUAAAGCUAAAUAUUGGCGAGAGACCGAUAGCGAACAAGUACAGUGAUGGAAAGAUGAAAAGAACUUUGAAAAGAGAGUGAAAAAGUACGUGAAAUUGUUGAAAGGGAAGGGCAUUUGAUCAGACAUGGUGUUUUGCGCCCUCUGCUCCUUGUGGGUGGGGGACUCUCGCAGCUCACUGGGCCAACAUCAGUUUUGGUGGUCGGACAAAUCCGUAGGAAUGUAGCUUACCUCGGUAAGUGUUAUAGCCUGCGGGAAUACGGCC
Molecule: ribosomal RNA, 447 nt
Filed under: Monosporozyma servazzii
Lineage: Eukaryota; Fungi; Ascomycota; Saccharomycetes; Saccharomycetales; Saccharomycetaceae
Description: Kazachstania servazzii partial 26S ribosomal RNA
Rfam family: Eukaryotic large subunit ribosomal RNA
Source: RNAcentral